AGAGCAGAGGGCGAUACAAAGGCUGGCGAACUGAUUCUGUGUGUGUUUGUGUUUUGAACUGUCCUGAGUCCGUGCGUUUGUCCGCUUGCCUCCGUUGUGAUCAUACGCAACUCCGUCCCUCUGUCACCCUGUGUACGGACAGACGCACUCACGCCAGUAGGAGGGGAUUGUGGGAAGGGGGUGUAGCUCUCAGAGGGUGUGCUAUGCUCCUCUCUUUUCCCUUCUUCCCGCCAUCACGGCCCUCUUCUCCUCCAGUCCUCUGGCCCAGCUCGCCGCUCACAUACAGGCUCCAGGUGUCUCUUUGUAGACGGGCAGGAGGAAGGACAGGCCUCCUCGGUUACUCGCUGACCUCAGAGCGACUCCCGAGCCAGAGAGCUGUUGUAACAUUCAGGAGUUUUACCUUCGAGGAUCUUCGCUGCUGGAGGAACACGUAUGCUGUCCUUGGGGCUGAGGUAGUAGAUUGAAUAGUUGUGGGGUUGUGUAACCUCUUUUUGAGAUAACUAUACAAUCUACUGUCUUUCCCAAGGAGACAGCUAAGUCAGCCGCUCGCCGACUGUCAUCUCCAGAUGGGCAAUUACCCUGUCCAAACAAUCGCGGCAAAUAAAAUAAUGCAUCGUGACAGGCAUUGUUUUUUUGUGUGUUUUUUUUGCUUGAGCAGGUAAAUUAGGUGUCCUGUUCCCCGGCAGGAGACCGUGUGGUGUCCUCGAUUUGGGCUCUGUCAGGGUGAGGUAGUAGGUUGUAUAGUUUGGUGGGUGGGAUUACACCCUGCUCAGGUGAUAACUAUACAGUCUAUUGCCUUCCCUGAGGAGUUCGCUUAACACUCAUCAAUAUUCAACACACUCUCAUCUCGGCCCGGGUAUCACGUUUAUUCGUCCAUAUGAAAUAAAAAGGAUCAGGUACACAUGUGCUGCAAAGGAUUAGUGUUAAAUUGAUUGAACAUGUCAUGUGGCUGUCUUAAGAUAUGUGUACAUCUCAAUAAAAGUUAUACUUGCUUCAAAA
Molecule: long non-coding RNA, 999 nt
Organism: Limanda limanda (common dab)
Lineage: Eukaryota; Metazoa; Chordata; Actinopteri; Pleuronectiformes; Pleuronectidae
Exons: 4
Source: RefSeq, a predicted model, not a curated record